CGAUGAAGAUAUCUUCAGUGAACUUUUGAAGUAAUUAACAUACUUUGGCUUUGCCUGCAAGAUACCUACACCUGUCUACCAUCUUUCGGAUGCUCCCGAAGAUGGACCAUCUGGAGCAUGUUAUUUACUUCCGUGGUUCUUCAAAACAGAACGCAGAGGAUCGUUUUAUAAAAUAUGGCCACCAAAGCUCAAAUCCUCGCAGAAUUAGUGUUACAAGAGUGGAAAUACAUUGAUGAGUCAACGAAACAUAGAGAAUUGUUUUUAAAAUUGAUUGAAUAUGGACGCAAUUCCAGUGACAAGGUUAAAGUGGUGGGCAAUUUUCUCAAAAGAAUUUUGCAUUGGCAAAGGAAGUGAUGCAACCCGUGUUUUUCUUGGACUGGGUAAGGAUGGUUACGGUAAAGCAGUAAAACGAAUACAUCGAGAUAGCUACAACCAGCUUGC
Molecule: long non-coding RNA, 441 nt
Organism: Xenia sp. Carnegie-2017
Lineage: Eukaryota; Metazoa; Cnidaria; Anthozoa; Malacalcyonacea; Xeniidae
Exons: 2
Source: RefSeq, a predicted model, not a curated record